RNAcentral lists this ribosomal RNA (250 nucleotides) under uncultured prokaryote. RNAcentral describes it as "partial 16S ribosomal RNA". It matches the Rfam family "Bacterial small subunit ribosomal RNA", at positions 524 to 774 of the family's 1533-position model. The record is from RNAcentral.
AACGUAGGGGGCGAGCGUUAUCCGGAUUUAUUGGGCGUAAAGGGUGCGUAGGCGGUUUAUUAAGUUUAAGAUGAAAGCCCGGAGCUUAACUCCGGUUUGUCUUAAAAACUGGUAGACUAGAGUAUAGUAGAGGCAAGUGGAAUUUCUAGUGUAGCGGUUAAAUGCGUAGAUAUUAGAAGGAACACCAGUGGCGAAGGCGACUUGCUGGGCUAUUACUGACGCUGAGGCACGAAAGCGUGGGGAGCAAAUA